This 119-nucleotide ribosomal RNA is filed under the name Danio rerio (zebrafish). Lineage: Eukaryota; Metazoa; Chordata; Actinopteri; Cypriniformes; Danionidae. The record is from RNAcentral.
CACCACAGCCUUAUCACCCUGUAGCCCAAGAACAGUUAUUCACUGAAGCUAAGCAGGGCUUUACCUGGUCAGUACCUGGAUAUGAGGCCACAUGGAGAAAACUGGGUUGCUGUUAGUGA